RNAcentral lists this transfer RNA (75 nucleotides) under Actinomadura citrea. RNAcentral describes it as "tRNA-Met". It matches the Rfam family "tRNA". Rfam says of the family: Transfer RNA (tRNA) molecules are approximately 80 nucleotides in length. The record is from RNAcentral. Lineage: Bacteria; Bacillati; Actinomycetota; Actinomycetes; Streptosporangiales; Thermomonosporaceae. RNAcentral also lists the same sequence under 1 other name.
GGCGGAGUGGAGCAGCUCGGUAGCUCGCUGGACUCAUUAUCCAGAGGUCGCGUGGUUCAAAUCCCGUCUCCGCCA